GUAUGUAUUGCAAUAUCCUCUGAGGCCAUGGUGGCGACCGUAUGAGUUGGAGAACCGGUGCGAGGAGGUGAGGCUUAAGCCUGCCACUUCAGAAAUGGAGAUUGAUUUGUCUCUUAAUCUUGACCCUAAGAAUUACGACGAAGAUUGCGGUAACAGACUUAAAAUGACUAAGCAGACUUUGUAUACAACAUGGAAGCCAACUCGCACAACUGGAACUGGCUAUGCUGUUGGGGUUUUGAUGGGUGAUAAGGUUGGUUUGUCAUUAAGAUCGUCUGAGGAGACCGUGAUUCCA
Molecule: non-coding RNA, 292 nt
Organism: Prunus avium (sweet cherry)
Lineage: Eukaryota; Viridiplantae; Streptophyta; Magnoliopsida; Rosales; Rosaceae
Source: RefSeq, a predicted model, not a curated record